This 253-nucleotide ribosomal RNA is filed under the name uncultured bacterium. RNAcentral describes it as "partial 16S ribosomal RNA". It matches the Rfam family "Bacterial small subunit ribosomal RNA", at positions 524 to 776 of the family's 1533-position model. The record is from RNAcentral.
UACGUAGGGUGCGAGCGUUAAUCGGAAUUACUGGGCGUAAAGCGUGCGCAGGCGGUUGUGCAAGACAGGUGUGAAAUCCCCGGGCUUAACCUGGGAACUGCACUUGGGACUGCAAGGCUGGAGUACGGCAGAGGGGGAUGGAAUUCCGCGUGUAGCAGUGAAAUGCGUAGAUAUGCGGAGGAACACCGAUGGCGAAGGCAAUCCCCUGGGCCUGCACUGACGCUCAUGCGCGAAAGCGUGGGGAGCAAACAGG